GAUCUUUAUAGAUUAAUAAUUAAAUAAAAAUUAGUUAAAUAUUUAUUUUUAAUUUUUAAUAUAUUAUAUUGGGGUAAUAAUAAAAUUUAAUAAAUUUUUAUUUUUUGUAAACAAAUAUAAUUGAUUAAUUGAUCCAAUAAUAUUGAUUAUAAAGUUAAGUUACCUUAGGGAUAACAGCAUAAUGAUUUUUGAGAGUUCUUAUCGA
Molecule: ribosomal RNA, 205 nt
Filed under: Sciopemyia sordellii
Lineage: Eukaryota; Metazoa; Arthropoda; Insecta; Diptera; Psychodidae
Description: partial large subunit ribosomal RNA
Source: RNAcentral